AAAGAAAAUAACAAUGAUUCCCCUAGUAACUGCGAGUGAAGAGGGACAAGCUCAAAUUUUAAAUCUAUCGGGUUUUACCCGAUCGAGUUGUAAUUUGAAGAAGCGUUUUCUGCGUUUUUGGUCAGCCCAAGUCCUAUUGAAUGAGGCAUCAUGGAGGGUGAUAAUCCCGUCCGGUUGAUCAUUUGCGUUUUACGAUACGCUUUCUAAGAGUCAAGUUGUUUGGGAUUGCAGCUUAAAAUGGGAGGUAAAUUUCUCCUAAGGCUAAAUAACGGCGAGAGACCGAUAGCGAACAAGUACCGUGAGGGAAAGAUGAAAAGAACUUUGAAAAGAGAGUUAAACAGUACGUGAAAUUGUUGAAAGGGAAACGAUUGAAGCCAGUCGUACCUUCGGGUAAUCAGCCUUUCGGGUGCGAUUCUGUGGAGUGUGAGGAGCUUAACACCUUCAUGCUUUGCAUAUUUGUGCUCUUGGGUGUACUUGCCCGUGUGGUUGGUUAACAUCAAUUUUGAUUAUCAUAAAAUGACUGGAGGAAUGUAGCUUCGAUCUCGUAUUGAAGUGUUAUAGCCUUCGGUAGAUGUGAUGAUCGAGAUUGAGGAUUGCAACGGAUACCCUUCGGGGCUACCUGUCUGGUCUCUGAUCGUUGCUCUGGUGCCGAAAGCGUGCUUACGGUUAUCAAAGUCGAUGGUCAAUAGGUUAGAACGGGUUAAAUU
This 707-nucleotide ribosomal RNA is filed under the name uncultured Glomeromycotina. RNAcentral describes it as "eukaryotic LSU rRNA". It matches the Rfam family "Eukaryotic large subunit ribosomal RNA", at positions 58 to 632 of the family's 3401-position model. The record is from RNAcentral. Lineage: Eukaryota; Fungi; Glomeromycota.